This is a long non-coding RNA of Budorcas taxicolor (takin), 374 nucleotides long. RefSeq lists it as uncharacterized. Lineage: Eukaryota; Metazoa; Chordata; Mammalia; Artiodactyla; Bovidae. The transcript is spliced from 3 exons. The record is from RefSeq and is a predicted model, not a curated record.
GGCGGUGCCUUGCGGCGGAGGCCGGGAGCACGUGGGUUGGGGAUCAGCCGAGCCCAGGAAGCCUUAGGCCUAUUGCGGCCAAGUUCGACCGGCGAGAGGCGCUGCGGGCAGCUUCCUAAGAGGACAUCUCUCUGGCCCAGACUGUCCUGACUGCCAGACCCAGCUGCUGCCAGCCUCCUUGCCUUCUGAAACUGUCACGGGCACGUCAAGUUGAACAGACUUGUGUCUUGAUGAGGACCCUCCCUCAAUUCUACACGAAAGCCCUGGCUCUUCAGGCUGUUCCAUGCUUCCUGCCUUUGUUCGUGCCUUUGUUCUGCUGAGAAGGCUGUGUGUCACGCUGGAGCCAGUCAGGAGAAACCACGCAGUAAGCAGAC